This 105-nucleotide transfer RNA is filed under the name Pelodiscus sinensis (Chinese soft-shelled turtle). It matches the Rfam family "tRNA". From Rfam's summary of the family: Transfer RNA (tRNA) molecules are approximately 80 nucleotides in length. Their secondary structure includes four short double-helical elements and three loops (D, anti-codon, and T loops). Lineage: Eukaryota; Metazoa; Chordata; Testudines; Trionychidae. The record is from Rfam by way of RNAcentral.
GGCUCUGUGGUGCAAUGGAAGGCAUGUUAGCCUGCUAAACUGUGGUGGCUAAUGUGAGUGUAGCUAAACAUUCAGAAGUUGUGGGUUCAACUCCAACCAGAGUCA